Molecule: long non-coding RNA, 1256 nt
Filed under: Brassica napus (rape)
Lineage: Eukaryota; Viridiplantae; Streptophyta; Magnoliopsida; Brassicales; Brassicaceae
Description: long non-coding RNA (BNAP_LNC012796)
Source: RNAcentral
UUAGCUUGAACAGAUCGGAUCUGUUCAUCGAUGAGAGCUUGUUUUGAUUGAAAAGGAAUUAUAACAGGACUCUUUUCCACCGUCGCUUGCACGGCCGGAGUUAAAGGAGGUGAUGGUUCUCGGGAAGGACCGACAGGGCUGCUAUGCUAUCUGAUAACAAUGGGGACCAACAAGCACAGCGGCCACAAAAAAAACAACUUUAAAAGAAAAGAGAUUAAUCGGUGAGAAGGAAUCUUUGGAAUCUACUCAGUCAAACAAUGUACCAACGUAAGAUAAAGAUUCUUAUUAUAUCUUGGUCCUAAAUAAUUGAGAUCUAAGCAAUCGAUAGUCGACCACAUAAAAUAAGAAUGACGCACUCUAAAUUUAAAGAUAACAUUUAAGCUAAAACUAAUUCUAAUGUUUUCAGUGGUUUAUUGUUAUAACAAGGAGAUAAUUGUGAGAUUACUUGUCUAGUUUUGUUACAAUUUAAUGAAAUUACUAAAUCUAAUAUAGACACAAGAUCCCCACUAUGUCAACCCCUAUAAAACAAAGUAGUAGUAAUCUCAGAGUUAGACGACGACGUCAUUUCAUAUUUAUUUUUAUCUGUUGUCCAUUAUAACCUUCUUUAAAAUCACAUUUCGUCGAAAAAAAUCAAAACAUAAACUUAGUGCUAAAUUAAUAUGAAACUAUUGGCUGGCUCUAACCUGAUUUCUUGCGAGACUCCACAACGGUACCAUGACAGCGUGGCAAGAACACUCCAGUUCCACCCGACCCGGCUCUCGAACCCAACCCGUCAACGAACACCGCCUUCACGGCGGACUUUGGUCUCUGUAGGUUGUGGUAGCUUCUUUCUUUGCGUCUUAAUGCAUCAUCAUUUCGUUCCUUGUCUUUCUCCUUUUUGAUCUUCUGGAACUAUAUACACAAAAUUAACAUCAUCAUUGCACCCGACGGUGGUAACAAAACUCUGUUUUCGUUACGGUUAAUUUUAAACCGUUGUAUUAUAACCGACAAUUUAAAAAAAAAAAAAGAUUCUAAGUAAUUAUCAACUGAUAAAAAUGAGCUCACGUUAGCUUGAACAGAUCGGAUCUGUUCAUCGAUGAGAGCUUGUUUUGAUUGAAAAGGAAUUAUAACAGGACUCUUUUCCACCGUCGCUUGCACGGCCGGAGUUAAAGGAGGUGAUGGUUCUCGGGAAGGACCGACAGGGCUGCUAUAACCUGAGGCGAAUGGUGACCAAAGAGUCGACUGCGGCGAGCCAGAGCCAGAGCCACCACCACAAG